Molecule: transfer RNA, 69 nt
Filed under: Quasipaa jiulongensis (Jiulong spiny frog)
Lineage: Eukaryota; Metazoa; Chordata; Amphibia; Anura; Dicroglossidae
Description: tRNA-Gly
Rfam family: tRNA
About the family: Transfer RNA (tRNA) molecules are approximately 80 nucleotides in length. Their secondary structure includes four short double-helical elements and three loops (D, anti-codon, and T loops). Further hydrogen bonds mediate the characteristic L-shaped molecular structure. tRNAs have two regions of fundamental functional importance: the anti-codon, which is responsible for specific mRNA codon recognition, and the 3' end, to which the tRNAs corresponding amino acid is attached (by aminoacyl-tRNA synthetases). tRNAs cope with the degeneracy of the genetic code in two manners: having more than one tRNA (with a specific anti-codon) for a particular amino acid; and 'wobble' base-pairing, i.e. permitting non-standard base-pairing at the 3rd anti-codon position.
Source: RNAcentral
AUUUUCUUAGUACAAAUAGUACAAAUGACUUCCAAUCAUUUAGUCUUGGUUCAAUUCCAGGAGGAAAUA